GUCAGCAGUAAUACUGUAUUUUGAAAAAGGAACAUGGAUCACUGUUCUAGGGAAGAACGAUGAAAUCCUAUCUCCAGCUGUGGCCAUCUUUUCCCCAUCAAAGCAAGAGAUCCAACAGAAGAGCAAGGCCACGCUGGUAUGCCUGGCCUCUGGUUUCUAUCCUGACCACCUGAAUCUGGUCUGGAAGGUGAAUGGUGCUAAGAGGACAGAAGGUGUGGGGACAGAUGAGUUUUCCACACGGAAUGGGAGUACCUAUUCAUUGAUCAUCCGAUUAAGGAUCUCAGCCCAGGAAUGGUUCAACCCUUUAAACCCUUUUGAGUGUGUUGCCAAUUUUUUCAGAAUGGAACACUGGAAUCGAUACACAAAUUCAUCUAUG
Fulmarus glacialis (Northern fulmar) is the source of this 376-nucleotide non-coding RNA. NCBI's taxonomy places the organism in Eukaryota, Metazoa, Chordata, Aves, Procellariiformes, Procellariidae. The record is from the annotation of a RefSeq genome assembly.